AAAAAAAAAAAACCUACAUCAUCAAAAUAGCCAGGGAAAUCAUCAAAUACACUUUUUGGGGAACAGAAAGUGGGUCAGAGUGACAUCAUAUAAACAAAGAGACUGACCAUCAAAGGAUGAGUCAGCAAACACAGCCAGCAGCACUUAGACAACAAAUGAGGCCCUUGUUUGAUAUCCUAACUAAAGAGGCUUGACUCCACACAGGAACAAACGGCAGACCUGAGUUAUCCUUAAUUCAGCAAGCAUGAGCUCCUAACAAGAGUCUACACGAGGCUACCGAAGUGGCCAGUCUCACUGGCUGAUUCAGCAAGUGCGAGCCUCCACAGUGACAUUUCCUUCAACCAAACCACACCCACUCCAACGAGGCCACGCCUCCUAAUAGUACUGAAUGCUGCUACCUUUGGAGGCCAAUGCCUUUCAAUCCACCAUGUAGCCUAUCCAAAAGGAACUCUGCAACUGGCUUUAAAAGAGGAAAAUAGACCAAUAGACUGGGAGGUAACGAAGCACGCCUUUAGUUCCAGCACUCAGGAGGCAGAGGCAGGUGGAUCUCUGAGUUCCAGGCCAGCCUGGUCUACAGAGCGAGUUUAAGGACAGCCAGG
RNAcentral lists this long non-coding RNA (599 nucleotides) under Cricetulus griseus (Chinese hamster). RNAcentral's name for it is "lncRNA (ENSCGRG00015033910.1)". Lineage: Eukaryota; Metazoa; Chordata; Mammalia; Rodentia; Cricetidae. The record is from RNAcentral.